Molecule: ribosomal RNA, 468 nt
Filed under: uncultured bacterium
Lineage: Bacteria
Description: partial 16S ribosomal RNA
Rfam family: Bacterial small subunit ribosomal RNA
Source: RNAcentral
GACGAACGCUGGCGGCGUGCUUAACACAUGCAAGUCGAACGGAAAGGCCCUGCUUUUGUGGGGUGCUCGAGUGGCGAACGGGUGAGUAACACGUGAGUAACCUGCCCUUGACUUUGGGAUAACUUCAGGAAACUGGGGCUAAUACCUGCUAGGUGCUCCUGCUGCAUGGUGGGUGUUGGAAAGUUUCGGCGGUUGGGGAUGGACUCGCGGCUUAUCAGCUUGUUGGUGUGGUAGUGGCUUACCAAGGCUUUGACGGGUAGCCGGACUGAGAGGGUGACCGGCCACAUAGGGACUGAGAUGCGGGCAGGACGCAUAAGGGGAGAAGCAGUGGAGAAUAGUGCAAGAUGGGCGGAAGCCUGAUGCAGGAACGCCGCGUGCGAGAUGACGGCAAUCGAGUUGGAGACCGAUUUCGCCAGUGACGAAGAGUGAGUGACGGUAAUGGGUAAAGAAGCACCGGCUAACUACGUG